Molecule: long non-coding RNA, 4214 nt
Filed under: Triticum aestivum (bread wheat)
Lineage: Eukaryota; Viridiplantae; Streptophyta; Magnoliopsida; Poales; Poaceae
Description: long non-coding RNA (TAES_LNC016031)
Source: RNAcentral
AAAUAAAUAAAUAAAUAAAUAAGGAACCUAAGCAAAUAAGGACAUCAUUUUUUUUCAAACUCGGACACGCAUGCAAAUAAGACGUGUAUACGGACUACGUACAAACAUGACUUGCCAAGGCAAACACGGCACAUGAAAACACAUACAUGCAACCGCACCCAGCACAUGCCCAAAAAUUGAAGUCAGCCAAAUCUGCUACCUAGCUAGCACACUACCAACAAAAUCAGUCUUCCAAUUCAACUACGUAAGCAACCGCACCCAGCACAUGCCCAAAAAUUGAAGUCAGCCAAAUCUGCUACCUAGCUAGCACACUACCAACAAAAUCAGUCUUCCAAUUCAACUACGUAAUGUCACCAAGCCAGAUGUAGUGACGCCCAAGCAACCUUCUGAGUGGCUUCUCACCUGAGUCAUAAAGGUUUCUAAUUGUUAUUCUGGAUCCAAUCUACCUUGGCAAUCAAAGUCUUCCGAUUCAACUAUGCAACGCCGAUGUAGUCAUGGCAACCUUUUGAGUGACUCACCUGAAUCAUCAAGGUUCGUAAUUGUUAUUCUGGAUCCAAUCUACCUUCUGAGUAGCCUCUCGCCUGAAUCAUCAAGGUUUGUAAUUGUUAUUCUGCAUACAAUCUUCAUAGGUGCAUUAUUAAUAAUUCACUAGCGAUUUUGUGAUCCUUUUGCAGCAAUGGCAUACAACAAGCAUAGCGAGUUCACAACAGGAGGACGAAACUAUGUAUUCAAGUGCAAGUAAUGAGAAUAUGAAAUUCAAUCAAUCCUACAGUUAAUUGGCUCUGGAACCUCGGCAUGAUAUUCAUAGAUGAAAAGGUUUUGCCAUUGCAUAUUUAUUAGCAGAUUGUUCUAUUGUUUGUUUUAACUACUAAGUAUGCCGGUAUGAUAUUCAUCGAUGAAAAGGUUUAGUCAUCAUAUAUUUACUUGCGAACUGUUCUGUUAUUUUCUACAACAACUACUAAGUAUGUUUUGAUUGUUUUCACAUGGCCAAACAAUUCUUGCGACUAUCGGGAAGUAGUUUAAUUUAUAGACACAUAUAGAACAAAGAUAAAUGAGAAUCUACUUAUGUAACAAUUUUAAGUUUGUGGAAUAAGUAUAUUCGAGUAAGCAGUGAAAUAUAGUUAUUUUUCAUACAUUAAAAAAGUAAAGGAGGUGAGAGGAUCAUCAGAAGGUUACCCAGUUUACUACUUCGAGUUUGCUACAAAGGAAAAAAAAUUAGAUGAAACUUUCAAAUAAUUAACUCCGCUUUUAUAGACGUCAUUGGAUUACCAACCCAAAUGGAGCAUGUGGAAUCAAUAAUAAAAAGAAAUAACCCCGAACCUUCAUAUUUCAGCCAGAUUGAAUUCUAAUAUAAGAUUAAGUCCAUAAUGCACAACCAUUCCUCAUCACUGGUGCAGAAGUUCAAUGGUAAGUUCAUUAAUGUUACAAGCUCUUCUAUUAAUUAUAAAAAUAUGUCUAACAGAAUUUACUUUGAUUAAACAUGAUUAUGCUUAAAGUCAAGUGUCAUAAGAAUCUAUACAGAUCUAGAUAUACCAUAAACUUGGGAAAUUGUUGACAGGUAUGAAAGACCAACUUUUAUUAUUUCUCAGCUAAUUUAUCUUGACUCAUCUUUAUUCACCAAUCUAAGAUAAUUGUUAUACUCGAUUUGCUCCAAAUGUGCAGGAACUCAACACAAGAAUCAAUACCAAAUUCAUACUCCCUCGAUCCAAAAUAAGUGUUAUGGUUUUAGUUCAAAUUUGAACUAAUGCGAGACUUCUUCUAAGAUAUGAAAUCGCCACUUGUUGAGGAAAACCAGACUCUCAACACCUGCAAUGACAACUUAGUAAAUAUCAGUUAUAGUGCAUAUCUACUUAAUUAUGUCUCUCACUUUCUCCAGUAUGCUAAAUUUUUGGGAAAUCAUUUUAGGAUUUUGUGUUCACAGUAAUAGCUACAAGUGAUCAUAUUCAAAGCUGGUAUAUGUGAUGUGAGGAUUUUCACAAACUAGAUAAGAAGGAAGUUGGCAAGUACUGUUACGAGAGUUGUGAUACAUAUCGAGAUGAUGUAUCACCUCGGUAAGCAUAUUCUACUAAUUUGAAGAAGACUUCUUUCCUAUUACAUUUACUCUACACUAAUAACAAUCGUAUGAUAGUUAUCGUAUUUGACAAUAAAUUAAUGACUGUACAACUACUACAAGUUGCACUUUAUUUGACGGUGAGGCUGAAAAAUUGUUCAAUACAUUUGUCUCGAACUUGCUAAAUUCACUGGAUGAGAAAUAUGAAGAAGCGCCAAAGAUUACAUAAUAAUAAUGUCGACAAACACUUAUUUUCAGCUCAUGUUCAGCGAUGGCAAUCUCACUUUCAGAACAAAAAACUAUGCAGUAAAAAGAACAUUUGUGUGUGAUGAUAGGCUUGAGAUGAUGGACCUGAAAGAUAAAGCCGAGGAGGAAAAUUUGCCUUUAUCCAUUACAAAAGAAGUAUUGUGUUUGUAUUUUCCUAACUAAUACAUCUCACAUAUGAUUCUCAGAAUUUUUCAUGAUGAAGUUGACGCCGUGUUAAAAAAAGCAACAAAGAAGCAUAACAUAGAGGCUAAAGGGUGAUUAAUUUUCUCAGAGUACUACUUCUCAAUUUUUAGAGACACGUGUAAUCUUUGAAAUGUAUUUUUAUUUUGCAGACAAAUAACAAUAGAGAUUCACCUCAGAAAAGGAUAUGACAAUUUGUUUCUAUGUAAGAAGAACCACACGAUACUAAUGGGGCUAUAGUACAUGAUGAUGGGUGUGAAGAAAAAAAACAUAAACAUCACAUGGACUCUGCAAUGACAAAAGAAAAUGAUAGAGAUCUAUCAUAUUAUCGGAUGGCUCAGAGGAUGAAUACACCAAGAUAAGUGUACAAGAAAGGAGAGAUGUAUGCUGGGAACAAGAAACAUGUUGAAGCGGAAGUAAAAACUGCAAUGCUUGAAGAUGAAGACUCAGUUGCCAGUUGUGGCAAAAUAAGAUGUACUGAUACUGCAGCCAUAAGGAGAUCACAUAAAAUGACCAAAGAGGUUUAUGGCCACAAGACCGGAAGUGUUGAUGAAAAAUGCUACAAGAGAAGUGGUCAGUUCGAAGAUACAGUAGCCAAAAAAACCUAGGCGAACAAGGAGGUUACCCACAAAAUUAGUUGAUUAAUAUAGCUUAGACUGAAACUAAGGCAGACCAUAACUGAGAUAGAGAAGAGCACUUGACAUCUACCAAUAUAACGACACGUAUUACAUAACAAGGCGCUGAACGGCUGAAGUUAGCACUACCAGAAGCAUGUCAUGUUGUAAUUACUUGAUAUAUGAGUUUUCUGUUCUUCAUAAUAGCUAUCUAUCCAACAGCCUUUUUCAGUUAAGAGAAUAUUAGAAAAGCUCUGAUAUUAUAGGCAUUUUGUAGAAAAUCCAUCCUAUGUCAACACAUGGAUCUUGCUUUGAAUAAUUACAAGGUUCCCUCAUUUAGACUUGGCGCCACAGCAAAACCAGCAACAAAUAACAUUAAUUGCAUAGGUAUAAAAAAUGGGAAGUAAUAACAUGACCAAAAUUUCUUCUCAGUUACUUCAUCGGAUGAUCAGAGGUUAUCCAAACUAAUUAGUAGAAACUAAAUAAACAUGUCAUUCCAUACACUACACGAUUGAGUUUUCUGGUGGAAACAUACUUGAGUUGACUAGAUUCAACAUGCGAGCUUUUGCUGCUUAACAAACCGAUGCCCAAAUUGACCAUGCAAGCAACCUGUACGAAGAGAAAUUUCAUAAAUAAGGAGUACAACACUACAGACUUACAUAGUGAUAUGGAGGAACUACAAAAAUAAUCUGCACUAGGAAGGAUGCAUAUGAUCGGCUCGCACUUACAUUUUGUAGGAGAUGAAGAGGAAAAUAACUCGAGGCCGUCUGCAACGGUGCUCAGAUCUUGAUGUCAUUUGCUUAUGGCACGAUCUCACAUUUGUCUACAUAACCCCAUAGCUCUCAUGAAGCAUAGCCGCAGUGCAAGUCUCUGCCCCGCUCCUCAGAUCCGACCAUUAUCCAUUGCACGAACUCAUCUAGGAAAUCCACACCCUUCUCCGUGAGCUUCCUUACUGCCCCCUCAACGCCACCAACCUCCAGCACAUCCAUCACCGUCGCUAGUCGCCGGACCUCCUGAUGGCCUCGCUGCCGGACUCGCCGAGGUGGGCGAGCAUCUGCACCCUGAAGACCGCAUCAAACGCGUUCACGCACUCACCCGGCCAC